CGGUUAUUGUUUUCCAAGUGUUUGUUAUCGAAAGUGUUUGCAUUUUUGGCAGCGCAUCAAAUGUUCGGUUUUAAUUAUUUUACUGCUUUUCAAUCUGCCCAGCAUAAUAGGAACAAGUUCACAAUCGAGGAACUGGAAGAUCCGAGAGGCCAUCAGAUCCGGCGGAACAAAUGUAAAUACCGGUGGAACAGCCCUGUUCCGAUAACAUCAACUCGUCCAGCAGUGGAAAAAUGUUGUUCCGCAAUCGAAAUGGAACAGUAAGUGGCCAAAAAAAUGAGCCGCUCCUGCGUAUAACCACAAUUAUGUGCUAAGAAAAUGGGUUCCAGAAAAGAUAACACUUAUUUAUAUAUGAGCA
This is a long non-coding RNA of Uranotaenia lowii, 355 nucleotides long. RefSeq lists it as uncharacterized. The record is from RefSeq and is a predicted model, not a curated record. The transcript has 3 exons. Lineage: Eukaryota; Metazoa; Arthropoda; Insecta; Diptera; Culicidae.